Molecule: microRNA precursor, 118 nt
Organism: Brassica oleracea var. oleracea
Lineage: Eukaryota; Viridiplantae; Streptophyta; Magnoliopsida; Brassicales; Brassicaceae
Rfam family: MIR9563 microRNA precursor family
Source: Rfam
GUAAUAUAAGUUACAGUCUCUUAACUUUUAACUAAAAAAACUAAGAGACGUCUCUUAAAUAAGAGAUUUAAGAGACGUCUUUUUUAGUUAAAAGCUAAGAGACUGUAUCUUAUAUUAC